UAGGUAUGUUUGUUAGUCACGUGACCAAGCACUUGCACGUUUUACCAUGGAACAGGUGGAAAUACGUCGUUUAAAACUUGAGCUAGAGGCCAAGGACAAAGAAAUUGAAAGACUGAGAGCAGCGAUAGAAGAGCAGGCUGAUUUUGAAACAGUGACUGAGGUCAGUGGUCCAUCAACAGCAACAAGCAAAAGAAUUGUUGAGCUGACAAAAGAAGGUAUCGCUCGCUACAGCAGGCAGCUCAUUCUCCCUGAGAUAGGUGUUCAAGGUCAGUUGAGAUUACAGAGGUCCUCUGUUCUGAUUGUUGGGGCCGGAGGUUUGGGGUGUCCUGCUGCAAUCUACCUGGCGGCAGCAGGGAUAGGUAAGCUGGGUGUCAUAGACUACGACGAGGUGGAGCUGAGUAACCUGCAUCGUCAGGUGCUACACACAGAGGACAGAGUGGGUGUUGCCAAAUCAGCGUCGGCCACACAUGCUUGCAAGAGGCUGAACUCUUCAGUACAUUACAUCCCGUAUCGCCUUCAGUUGGACAGCUCCAAUGCCCUGGCCAUCAUCUCACAGUAUGAUGUUGUGCUGGAUGCUAGUGACAAUGUGGCGACCCGCUACCUUCUGAACGAUGCCUGUGUGCUGGCAGGGAAACCCCUGGUGUCGGGCAGCGCCCUCAGGUUUGAGGGGCAGCUGACCGUGUACAACCACCGAGGGGGCCCCUGCUACCGAUGCCUGUUCCCCAAACCUCCGCCGCCCGAAACAGUCACCAACUGCUCCGAGGGUGGUGUGCUGGGAGUAGUUCCUGGGAUCAUUGGGUGUCUGCAAGCCCUGGAGACUGUCAAGAUCGUGGCCGACAUCGGCACUAGUUCCAGCCAGCGCCUGCUGCUGUUUGAUGCCCUGGAUGGGAUGUUCCGCACCAUCAAGCUCCGUCCCCGGCAGUCCAAGUGUCCUGUGUGUGGAGACAACCCCUCCAUCACCCAGCUCAUGGACUAUGAACAGUUCUGUGGGGCCCGAGCUACUGACAAGGAACAUGCUCUAACAGUGUUAGAUGACUCCGAGAGAAUAUCCCCAAAGGUUUACCAAGAGAUGAUGGUGAAGGGGUCACCCCACAUUCUGGUGGACGUACGGACAGAGGUGGAGAUGGGCAUCUGUCAGCUACCACACCCUUCAGUCAAUAUACCAAUAUCUUCAAUAGACAAAGCUGAUUGUGUAGAGAGGUUGAAAUCAACAGUAAAGAAACAACCAACAGGUGGCAACAGCCCAGUAUCGGUUGUGCUGGUGUGUCGUCGAGGUAACGACUCUCAGAAUGCAGUCAGGUCCCUUCAACAUUCCUUGUCAGACUGUAAUGUGACACUAAAGGACAUCCGUGGAGGUCUGCAUGCCUGGGCCAGGCAGGUGGACAAGAACUUCCCUGUCUACUGAAGGACGUCCAUGGAGGUCUGGCCAGACAGGUGGACAAGGACUUCCCUGUCUACUGAAGGAUAUGCAUGGAGGUCUACAUGCCUGGGCCAAACAGGGGGACAAGACCUGUGUUGGUCACUGAAGGACACUUGUAAUGUAACACCCCUGUACAAGUACUACAAUCCAUAGUGUGGUUGCAGGAGCACUUUGUAUCAUAAAGAUGUCAUUUGGGUUUGAUGCACAUUAAGUUUUCAGUAACCAGAAUAUAAUUAUCAGUUACCUACACGAGGCAAUCUGGAGGAGGCUAGCCAUUGGUUGACAGUGUGAGAACAUUGUUUUAUCCCUUACAGGUCUGGUCACCACUGGCAAUAUUCACUCACUCAGAAGUAUGUAUUGGGGCAGGGUAGAUCUGAAUUAGAACAAUUUCAUUAUUUUAUGUAUAGGUCAUUUUAUUUACACAUCCAUGAACAAAUAAGCAACUGUUAAUUUUCUGA
This 1878-nucleotide unclassified non-coding RNA is filed under the name Haliotis rufescens (red abalone). Its description in RNAcentral is "adenylyltransferase and sulfurtransferase MOCS3-like, transcript variant X4". Lineage: Eukaryota; Metazoa; Mollusca; Gastropoda; Lepetellida; Haliotidae. The record is from RNAcentral.